This 446-nucleotide ribosomal RNA is filed under the name uncultured bacterium. Its description in RNAcentral is "partial 16S ribosomal RNA". It matches the Rfam family "Bacterial small subunit ribosomal RNA", at positions 338 to 795 of the family's 1533-position model. The record is from RNAcentral.
CCUACGGGUGGCAGCAGUCGAGAAUCAUUCACCAUGGGGGAAACCCUGAUGGUGCGACGCCGCGUGGGGGAAUGAAGGUCUUCGGAUUGUAAACCCCUGUCAUGUGGGAGCAAAUUAAAAAGAUAGUACCACAAGAGGAAGAGACGGCUAACUCUGUGCCAGCAGCCGCGGUAAUACAGAGGUCUCAAGCGUUGUUCGGAAUCACUGGGCGUAAAGCGUGCGUAGGCUGUUUCGUAAGUCGUGUGUGAAAGGCGCGGGCUCAACCCGCGGACGGCACAUGAUACUGCGAGACUAGAGUAAGGGAGGGGGAACCGGAAUUCUCGGUGUAGCAGUGAAAUGCGUAGAUAUCGAGAGGAACACUCGUGGCGAAGGCGGGUUCCUGGACAUUAACUGACGCUGAGGCACGAAGGCCAGGGGAGCGAAAGGGAUUAGAUACCCGUGUAGUC